GCACGUAGUUAGCCGGGGCUUAUUCCUCGGGUACCGUCUGUGAUCGUCCCCGAGAAAAGGGCUUUACAUCCCGAAGGACUUCCUCACCCACGCGGCGUCGCUGCGUCAGGGUUUCCCCCAUUGCGCAAUAUUCCUCAUUGCUGCCUCCCGAAGGAGUCGGGGCCGUGUCUCAGUCCCCGUCCGGCGGAUCAUCCUCUCAGACCCGCUACCCGUCGUCGCCCUGGUGGGCCGUUACCUCACCAACUAGCUGAUAGGACGCAGACCAUCCCAGAGCGGCUUGCGCCUUUAGCCAGCCCCCAAUGCUGCGGGCGGCCACAUGCGGUAUUAGCAGCAGUUUCCCACUGUUAUCCCCCACUCUCGGGCAGGUUGUCUACGUGUUACUCGACCGUUCGCCACUGGGAGCAAGCUCCCCGUUCGACUUGCAUACCUUAGGCACGCCGCUAGCGUUCGUC
Molecule: ribosomal RNA, 452 nt
Filed under: uncultured bacterium
Lineage: Bacteria
Description: partial 16S rRNA
Source: RNAcentral